UACAGAGGUCUCAAGCGUUGUUCGGAUUCAUUGGGCGUAAAGGGUGCGUAGGCGGCGCGGUAAGUCGGGUGUGAAAUCUUGGAGCUUAACUCCGAAACUGCAUUCGAUACUGCCGUGCUUGAGGACUGGAGAGGAGACUGGAAUUUACGGCGUAGCGGUGAAAUGCGUAGAUAUCGUAAGGAAGACCAGUGGCGAAGGCGGGUCUCUGGACAGUUCCUGACGCUGAGGCACGAAGGCCAGGGGAGCAAACGGG
RNAcentral lists this ribosomal RNA (253 nucleotides) under uncultured bacterium. Its description in RNAcentral is "partial 16S ribosomal RNA". It matches the Rfam family "Bacterial small subunit ribosomal RNA", at positions 524 to 776 of the family's 1533-position model. The record is from RNAcentral.